UGUCUACUACUGGAGACACUGAUAGUGUAAAACCCAGAGUCUUCGGUAAUGGACGGG
Molecule: microRNA precursor, 57 nt
Filed under: Macaca mulatta (Rhesus monkey)
Lineage: Eukaryota; Metazoa; Chordata; Mammalia; Primates; Cercopithecidae
Description: Mml-Mir-934_pre stem-loop
Source: RNAcentral